UACUCAUACUCCUGUUCAAAAUUUGAAUCUGGAUAUUGAAGAGCAAUCACACAAACACUCGAUUUCACACAUCGAGGAGCCAAACACUAAUAAUUCAGAAGGAUCCCUGGCUGGUGUUGUCUAGGAUGUAUUCCGCAGGCAGGAUCUUCCAAAGCUUAAUGAAUAUCUAGCUGUUCAUCGGGAAGAAUGUGCAGCUAGAUGUCAAGCAGUGUCUUCUGUUAAAUAUCCUAUUUAUGAUCAAACAGUGUACCUUAACGAUUAUCAUAAGAAGAUGUUGAAGGAUCAAUAUGAGGGACUGAAGAAAAUCGAGCAGAUUACAAU
Long non-coding RNA from Zea mays, 321 nucleotides. RefSeq lists it as uncharacterized. NCBI's taxonomy places the organism in Eukaryota, Viridiplantae, Streptophyta, Magnoliopsida, Poales, Poaceae. The transcript is spliced from 3 exons. The record is from RefSeq and is a predicted model, not a curated record.